This is a long non-coding RNA of Macaca mulatta (Rhesus monkey), 2105 nucleotides long. NCBI's taxonomy places the organism in Eukaryota, Metazoa, Chordata, Mammalia, Primates, Cercopithecidae. The record is from Ensembl.
GCAUGCAUUUGCAGUAGGUGUAUAAUUAAGAGGAUGUAAUUAAGGAUUAUUGCUGGAUGUAUUUACAUUAGGGAUGUAAUUAGGAAGAAAGAAGAGUCAGUGCAAUAGCCAAGGCAUGGAUGCCAAAAUGUGCUUGGAAACUCAGAAACUGAAAUGUAUUUCUUUGUAGGAGGAACUUCCGUGGUCAUCCCAGUCAUGUGAUGUAAGGGCAAUGACAGCAAUGGUAUAAGGAAGAGUCUGGAAGCCACCAUGCCCAGAACCAUCAGCCUCAAGCAAAUCAUCUUCCCUUGUCCUCCUGCUCUCAUCUUACCCUUCAGACAAAAUCCAUGGAGCUAUAAACCGAGAAAAGAUUGAUGAAUAUUAAGUAGAAGAGUGAGAGGGUCAUCUUUGCAUUUAAAAAAGAUCACUUGCUGUUGCUGUAUGGAAAAUGAAUUGGAGCAGGGUAAGAUUGGAGCUGGUUCUUGCUAAUGUUUGUGUGAAGAUGGAAAAUAACUAGGGAAAUAAUUUGCUAAGAAGAAGAAAUAAAGGACCUUCCAAAAUUUAAUAAUUAUUACAUAGAAUUGGUAAUGUACUCCUCAUUACUAUACUCACCCCAUAAUUAUUACUAUGCUCAACCCAUAAUCUCACCUGAGUGGUACAAAGGGUACUAAGGGUCUAUACUCAUACAAUAUCACAACUAGAAAUUUUCCCAUGCAGCCACUUGCAUGCCUCUUGAGCUCUUCUCUUUUGCCUCUGCAAGUAACUUUUUCUAGAGAAAGCCCUCCUCUCUUUAAUUAUCUGUUGAAAUCUUAACCAUCUUUCAAGUCCCAAUUUAAGUGUUCCCUCCUCCAAAAAGGUUGACUUUUGCUAACCAAAUAUUUUCUCUUUCUUUACUUUAGCUCUAUUGCACUUAAUUUUAAAUGUUUCUUAUGCCAUUUUUCUGUUGAGUGCAGGCCUAAAUUUACUUGUGUAAUGCACCAUUCCAGAUUCCAUUCACCAUUGUAGACCCAGGGCUUGGCUGUGUCUGAAGGAGAGGUGGUGCACAACAAACACUGGUGAAAUGAAUUAAUUUCCAACUGAAAUUCCAGUCCUGAAACAUAAUCAUCAAAGUGCAUGGAUGGCUUAUUUUAACUCCUUUUUUUCAUAAGCCAUUCGUCUACAAUCAACUCUCCAGUGUGUAUCUUCAAUGGUGUCUUGAUAAGUAUUUAUUAAACUACAUUUAACUUUCAAUUUACAUGAUAUUUUAAAUUUAUUUUGAAAGCGGUUAUCUAGGAUUUACUCAUUUAUUUGGAUAAUAUGCACUCUUACUGCCAUUCUGAAAGAAAAUUUGCAUAGAUAAAACGGUGUUAAAAUAGCACAAACCCGUGAAACAAAAGCAUUUAAAUAUUAUUUUCCAUCCUUAGAUAUAAUCUAGUAAAGUAUCAGUUAAAUUGGUGUCCUUUUGUGAAUUUAUGAUUUUAUCACUCUUAAUGCCUUUAAACCUGUUUUUAUUAAAGUAAGCAGUUCAACCGAGUCAUUAGGAGGGAUUAUAUGCAAAUGUAGUUAUGUAGUGUUGUGUAAUGUUACUUGAUGUUUAGGAUGAAAUCAAUACUCUUAAUUUAAGAAAUUAAAAAAGAAUGAACAGUCAAUUGUACAAUAGAAACAAUAUAAAAUAUGUUGUAUUUAAAGUAAAAUAAAUUUUUUAAUUCAGGAAGUUGUGAUCAAAUACUUGCUACAAGCAUUUCAUAUUAGUUCAUAAGGAGUUACAGCUAAGUGACACAUCAAUAGAAAAACCUUUUUGAUUUGUUCAGUCUAAUCUAAGCGCUACAAAACUUCCCACAAAAAACUGCCCUGAAGUUCACUUUUAUAAGAUUAUCAAUGAAACUUACAGUAUAUUUCCAGUUCUCACAUUUUCCUUAAAAUUUGUUAGACUUAAAAAAGAAAACAGAGAGUGCUCUUAUUUAUUCAAUAAUAAGUAAGCAAACAAAUAACAGGCUAAUUUAGAUCUCUUUAGAAUUUCUUUUGUGUAAGUAGUAUUUGUAACAAAUAGUUGUCCAUUUCACAAUUUCGAGUUAUAGCAGCUUUUACUAUUCAACUUUGUGAUUUUAUAAUGGCUAAAACAUAGCAGUACUCAGUAAGAUAUAAAA